Molecule: microRNA precursor, 84 nt
Filed under: Glycine max (soybean)
Lineage: Eukaryota; Viridiplantae; Streptophyta; Magnoliopsida; Fabales; Fabaceae
Description: miR5783 stem-loop (gma-MIR5783)
Source: miRBase by way of RNAcentral
GGCCGCGGUGGCGGGUCCCUCCGGGUCGUCUCCGUCUGCGGAGGACGACGGAGACGACGACGGGGAGGACGCGCCGCUGCUGCA